RNAcentral lists this ribosomal RNA (493 nucleotides) under uncultured bacterium. RNAcentral describes it as "bacterial SSU rRNA". It matches the Rfam family "Bacterial small subunit ribosomal RNA", at positions 30 to 511 of the family's 1533-position model. The record is from RNAcentral.
AUUGAACGCUGGCGGUAUGCUUAACACAUGCAAGUCGAACGGUAACAGGCCUAGCUUGCUAGGUGCUGACGAGUGGCGGACGGGUGAGUAACGCGUGGGAAUCUGCCUUAUUGUGGGGGAUAACCUGGGGAAACUCAGGCUAAUACCGCAUGAGCCCUAAGGGGAAAGGAUGGGACCGAAAGGCCAUUCGCGAUAAGAUGAGCCUGCGUUGGAUUAGCUAGUUGGUGGGGUAAAGGCCUACCAAGGCGAGGAUCCAUAGCUGGUCUGAGAGGACGAUCAGCCACACUGGGACUGAGACACGGCCCAGACUCCUACGGGAGGCAGCAGUGGGGAAUAUUGGACAAUGGGGGCGAACCCUGAUCCAGCAAUACCGCGUGUGUGAAGAAGGCCUGCGGGUUGUAAAGCACUUUCAGUGGGGAGGAAGAAGCUCGGUGCUAAUAGUAUCGAGUUGAGACGUUACCCACAGAAGAAGCACCGGCUAACUCUGUGCCAG